This 304-nucleotide ribosomal RNA is filed under the name uncultured bacterium. Its description in RNAcentral is "partial 16S ribosomal RNA". It matches the Rfam family "Bacterial small subunit ribosomal RNA", at positions 506 to 809 of the family's 1533-position model. The record is from RNAcentral.
CAGCAGCAGCCGCGGUAAUACAGAGGGUGCGAGCGUUAAUCGGAUUUACUGGGCGUAAAGCGUGCGUAGGCGGCUUCUUAAGUCGGAUGUGAAAUCCCUGAGCUUAACUUAGGAAUUGCAUUCGAUACUGGGAAGCUAGAGUAUGGGAGAGGAUGGUAGAAUUCCAGGUGUAGCGGUGAAAUGCGUAGAGAUCUGGAGGAAUACCGAUGGCGAAGGCAGCCAUCUGGCCUAAUACUGACGCUGAGGUACGAAAGCAUGGGGAGCAAACAGGAUUAGAUACCCCGGUAGUCCCUGUCUCUUAUAA